GUCUAUCGCCAUGCCACCCUGAACAAGGCUGAUCCUGGAAGCUAAACAGGGUCGGGUCAGUUUAGUACUUGGAUAGGAGACCACCUAGGAAGACCAGGUGCUGCAGGCG
RNAcentral lists this ribosomal RNA (109 nucleotides) under Pteropus alecto (black flying fox). The record is from RNAcentral. Lineage: Eukaryota; Metazoa; Chordata; Mammalia; Chiroptera; Pteropodidae.